AAGACUAUACUUUCAGGGAUCAUUUUUAUAGUAUGUUACUAGAGAAGUUUCUCUGAACUUGUAGUGUACCCGAAACCACGAGGAGGAGACGUAGUAUUCCUUCCUGAGCGUGAAGUUGAUUUUGGGUGUUGUAUGUGCAACAGCCCUUGAUCUUUGAUGAUCGUUCUUCCUCUGUUUGGCAGAGGUUAGAGGGAAGGAAUGCCGUCUGAGUGGU
RNAcentral lists this small nucleolar RNA (214 nucleotides) under Neogale vison (American mink). RNAcentral describes it as "Neovison vison (American mink) Small nucleolar RNA U3 (ENSNVIG00000013638.1)". It matches the Rfam family "Small nucleolar RNA U3". From Rfam's summary of the family: Small nucleolar RNAs (snoRNAs) are involved in the processing and modification of rRNA in the nucleolus. There are two main classes of snoRNAs: the box C/D class, and the box H/ACA class. U3 snoRNA is a member of the box C/D class. Lineage: Eukaryota; Metazoa; Chordata; Mammalia; Carnivora; Mustelidae. The record is from Rfam by way of RNAcentral.